UAAAGAUAAAAAUUAUUUAAUGAAUAAUUCAUUUAGAUAAAAAAAAGGAUACAUUAAAUAAAAAAAAUUGUGAAUCAAUUAUUAUUUAGUCACCGUCACUUUAAGGUUAUGCGGGCCGUGAUCUCGAAUUUGAAGCCCAGCUUCAGAAUCUAAAACACGGGCUUGGAAAUUACUUUCGGAACCCCAUCAAUUUUUAUCUGCAUCCCCUCUUUAUCUGGAAUUCCAAUUUUGCCUUUGCGACUUGUAUUUGAAACUGGUCUCCUUUGGUGGUUGCUGUAACGUGGAGAGGACUGUUUC
This 297-nucleotide long non-coding RNA is filed under the name Phaseolus vulgaris (common bean). RNAcentral's name for it is "long non-coding RNA (PVUL_LNC001980)". Lineage: Eukaryota; Viridiplantae; Streptophyta; Magnoliopsida; Fabales; Fabaceae. The record is from RNAcentral.